CCUACGGGAGGCAGCAGUGGGGAAUAUUGGACAAUGGGGGGAACCCUGAUCCAGCCAUGCCGCGUGUGUGAAGAAGGCCCUCGGGUUGUAAAGCACUUUCAGUGAGGAAGAACGCCUGGUGGUUAAUACCCAUCAGGAAAGACAUCACUCACAGAAGAAGCACCGGCUAACUCCGUGCCAGCAGCCGCGGUAAUACGGAGGGUGCGAGCGUUAAUCGGAAUUACUGGGCGUAAAGCGCGCGUAGGUGGCUUGAUAAGCCGGUUGUGAAAGCCCCGGGCUCAACCUGGGAACGGCAUCCGGAACUGUCAAGCUAGAGUGCAGGAGAGGAAGGUAGAAUUCCCGGUGUAGCGGUGAAAUGCGUAGAGAUCGGGAGGAAUAACAGUGGCGAAGGCGGCCUUCUGGACUGACACUGACACUGAGGUGCGAAAGCGUGGGUAGCAAACAGGAUUAGAUACCCCUGUAGUC
This 465-nucleotide ribosomal RNA is filed under the name Vreelandella stevensii. RNAcentral's name for it is "partial 16S ribosomal RNA". It matches the Rfam family "Bacterial small subunit ribosomal RNA", at positions 338 to 795 of the family's 1533-position model. Lineage: Bacteria; Pseudomonadati; Pseudomonadota; Gammaproteobacteria; Oceanospirillales; Halomonadaceae. The record is from RNAcentral.